UUGAACGCUGGCGGCAUGCCUUACACAUGCAAGUCGAACGGCAGCACGGAGCUUGCUCUGGUGGCGAGUGGCGAACGGGUGAGUAAUAUAUCGGAACGUACCCUAGAGUGGGGGAUAACGUAGCGAAAGUUACGCUAAUACCGCAUACGAUCUAAGGAUGAAAGUGGGGGAUCGCAAGACCUCAUGCUCGUGGAGCGGCCGAUAUCUGAUUAGCUAGUUGGUAGGGUAAAAGCCUACCAAGGCAUCGAUCAGUAGCUGGUCUGAGAGGACGACCAGCCACACUGGAACUGAGACACGGUCCAGACUCCUACGGGAGGCAGCAGUGGGGAAUUUUGGACAAUGGGCGAAAGCCUGAUCCAGCAAUGCCGCGUGAGUGAAGAAGGCCUUCGGGUUGUAAAGCUCUUUUGUCAGGGAAGAAACGGUGAGAGCUAAUAUCUCUUGCUAAUGACGGUACCUGAAGAAUAAGCACCGGCUAACUACGU
Molecule: ribosomal RNA, 482 nt
Filed under: uncultured bacterium
Lineage: Bacteria
Description: bacterial SSU rRNA
Rfam family: Bacterial small subunit ribosomal RNA
Source: RNAcentral